AUGUGUGGGCAUGGAGAUGAGACUCUGUAUCACUGUUUGAAUACAUGUGAUCACGCGUGGUUGUUUUGGGAGGAGGAAGAAAGAUUCUUCAAAGUUAAACUACCAAAGCUCCACCCAGGCACAUGGUCAGCAGACAUGCUGGACACGAGCAUUGUCAGCAAGGACGUAGGUGCAGUUCUGGUCACUGUAAUGUGGGCAAUUUGGCAUAGUAGAAAUAAAUAUUCUCAUGGGGAGGAAAAUUUCCAGCCUAAGCAAUCAAUGCUCAUCAUUGCUGAGAUUGUAUGGGUGCUGGAGAUGCCUCAAUCUUCAAGGCAAAAGAAGCAACCUGCAUGUUGCCGGUGGGCAGCCCCGACAUCGGGAUGGAUCAACAUCAAUGUUGAUGGCGCUAUCGACACUACUAUGGGAAAAGGUGGUGCGGGGAUGGUGGCCAGGGAUCACGAGGGUCUCUUACAAGCAGUAAUGUGUGCUAAGUAUGAUGGUAUUACGGAUCCACUUAGCUUGGAAAUCCUGGCCUGCCGAGAUGGAGUGCUUGUUGUGACAGAAAAGGGCUACCACUCUCUUUUCAUUGAGAGAGAUUGUUCCGAUGCCAAGUAA
Molecule: ribosomal RNA, 594 nt
Filed under: Triticum aestivum (bread wheat)
Lineage: Eukaryota; Viridiplantae; Streptophyta; Magnoliopsida; Poales; Poaceae
Description: partial small subunit ribosomal RNA
Source: RNAcentral